Molecule: long non-coding RNA, 245 nt
Organism: Toxotes jaculatrix (banded archerfish)
Lineage: Eukaryota; Metazoa; Chordata; Actinopteri; Toxotidae
Exons: 3
Source: RefSeq, a predicted model, not a curated record
UCGAGCUCUGCGCUCACUUCAAUUCAAACUUGCGACAUUUCAUCAGAAGUCACACAAGUGUUCGCCGAGCAGCUCGCAACUGAACUUUUACAGCAGGAGCACGGAGGGAGAGGACUCAACAAGUUGUGUUGUGUGAUGUCACGCUGUGCUGCACAUUGGUGCAGAUGACCUCCCUUUUACUGCAGCUCCCUCCAGUGGUAAAUAAGACCUUUGUGGCAAGUCUAUAAUCCAGAAGUUAAAAAAAG